RNAcentral lists this unclassified non-coding RNA (384 nucleotides) under soil metagenome. RNAcentral describes it as "partial contains 5.8S ribosomal RNA, internal transcribed spacer 2, and large subunit ribosomal RNA". The stretch from base 1 to 120 matches the Rfam family "5.8S ribosomal RNA", at positions 35 to 154 of the family's 154-position model. The record is from RNAcentral.
GAUGAAGAACGUAGCGAAAUGCGAUAAGUAAUGUGAAUUGCAGAAUUCAGUGAAUCAUCGAAUCUUUGAACGCACCUUGCACCCUUUGGCAUUCCGAAGGGCAUGCUCGUUUGAGUGUCAUUGUACUCUCACUCUCCCGAUGCUUUUGGAUCGGGAGUGGUGGACUUGGGUGUUGCUGCUUUGCUGUGGCUCGCCUCAAAUGGAGUAGUGCAACUCUUGGUUGGACAUAGUACGGCGUGAUAAGUGUCUUCGCCGGCGCCUCAUUAUAGAGGGUGGCCGAUCGGGAGCUCUGUGCUUCAAACCGUCUUCGGACAACAUCUGACAACUUGACCUCAAAUCGAGUAGGACUACCCGCUGAACUUAAGCAUAUCAAUAAGCGGAGGA